Molecule: ribosomal RNA, 253 nt
Filed under: uncultured bacterium
Lineage: Bacteria
Description: partial 16S ribosomal RNA
Rfam family: Bacterial small subunit ribosomal RNA
Source: RNAcentral
UAUGUAGGCAGCAAGCGUUGUUCGGAGUUACUGGGCGUAAAGGGUGCGUAGGCGGCCCUGUAAGUAUGGUGUGAAAUCUCCCGGCUUAACUGGGAGGGUGCGCUAUAGACUGCGGGGCUCGAGUGUGGGAGAGGAAAGUGGAAUUCCUGGUGUAGCGGUGAAAUGCGUAGAUAUCAGGAGGAACACCGGUGGUGUAAACGGCUUUCUGGACCAUAACUGACGCUGAGGCACGAAAGCGUGGGUAGCAAACAGG